GAGGCGAGCGCGUGCUCGGGCGAGCACAUGGGCAGCGGCCGGGCCCGCGCCGCUCCGCGCCCCUCCGCGCCCCGCCGCCGGACCCCCGCCCGGGGAGGGGGGGGCACGGGUGCUCCCUGUUUUGCAUCAGGUAGCAGAAAGGCUGCUUAAAGCUUUGUGCCAAAGACCGUAGGAGCUUUCUGCAAGGAAAUGAAGGUCUGCUCUGUGAGAGUCCAGUUUCACAUGGACUGGGCAACCCCAGGAGAUAAAGACCACCACAAACCUCCUCAUAUUCUGCUCCGAGUGCAAGGUCCCAGCCUCACGCUUCCCACCGGUCUGGAGUAACAUUUGGAGGAGCCUGGCAGCAUGAGUCUUCCGGUAGCUCCCAAGGAUAUUUAGGAUCAUGGAAUAUAUGGACCCCUAAAACCCUCUGGAGAAUGUCAGCUGCAGAUAAAAACAUCUGGAAAUUCCUACCAUCUUUUUACACUGUUUUUUCCUGGGUCACCCCAUGUCAUUUGGGAAGGAAGCCUCUCUGGCCUGAGGAUUAUAGCAAACUGGUCACUUACUGGAAUACCUCCCCUUCUGUUCUCUAAAGAUGGACCCAUUGCUUUACCCAGCAGAAGGAUAUUUUUGUCCUCUCCCAGAGCUUUUCCAGUGCAGCAGCGCUCACGGCCAUCAGGACCAGGUGAAUUAAAAUAGAAAAGCGUCUCUCUUCCGUGCCCCAGUAAAAUUUUGCUUGCUUCCAUGAAGCAUCUAUGUCUGUCUUCCAUGAAGCCGGCCCUGUGGCGUUAAUGGUGUGGACGAUGCUGGAGGAGACCAGCUGCGGUUUCGAAGUCUCCUUGGCCGUAGACUUGUGCCUUCAACCUCCUGGUUGCGGCUGGCUCCAGUGGACCCACCAGCCGUGGUGACGUGCAUGGUGAGGCGCGUGCUUCCAACAACAGUUCUCUCUCCCAUAGGCAUGUCUGGACAGAAAACAGGUGUGAAGAGGAGGGCAGGUGGCACGUGUGCGCAUGGCAUUGGCACGGCCAUUUGCACGAUUGGGUUCUUCAUCCGUGCAAGGGCCUUCACGCUGGAUAUCAAGACUCCUAAUGACGGCAGCGUGCAAACCUGACCUCGAAAACCAGCUGAUGACAAAAGUCAUCCUCUGGCUCAAUGCCAUAUUUUCUAUUUUACUGGGGAGAAAUGCCUUGAAACACCCCAUGCGGGCAGCGGAUGGGUCCUGCCAUUCCCCAGGGAACCCCAGGGCAGAGCAAUGUUGCUGAGUCCCACCUUGCUGCAGCACUGAGAAAGGGUUUAUUUUGAUGGGAUGAGCACAGCAACAGCUGUUGUGGUAGGUUUGAGUUCUUCAGCAAUGUGUGCUUAUUCAAGAGGCCGUUCAAAUCAGGUGCUGGGUUUGAAGUAGCUGGACUUGGGCAGAGACAUCCCAACCUCUCACCCAUCUGAGGUGAAUAAGCACCUCCUGCUCAGUUCCUCAUGCAGGAACUUUUAUGUGAAACCUAAAACCAAAGCAAAUUACCAGCUGUGGGUGGUCAUCGGAAGCUGUGAGAAGUGUUUGCCUGGGUAGUGUCUUCCUGCCUCUGCUGUUCCUCUGGGAGCUUGCAAAGCUCAACGCUGAACACCUACAGGGUGAGAUGCUCCAUCGGGGUAUGCCAGCAUGGCACUAUGCCGGCUUGAUAGCCUCGACUCUCGUGUGCAUCUUUGUGGUGGUGAGUCCCCAGUUAUACCCCAAAUGGAGGACUCCAGGAGUGUUCAGCUGGGCCCACACGUGACUUUAUGGGAUGAAUAAAUGG
Chroicocephalus ridibundus (black-headed gull) is the source of this 1769-nucleotide long non-coding RNA. RefSeq lists it as uncharacterized. The transcript is spliced from 4 exons. NCBI's taxonomy places the organism in Eukaryota, Metazoa, Chordata, Aves, Charadriiformes, Laridae. The record is from RefSeq and is a predicted model, not a curated record.